AACGAACGCUGGCGGCGUGCCUAACACAUGCAAGUCGUACGUGAAAGUCUUCGGAUGAGUAAAGUGGCGCACGGGUGAGUAACACGUAGGUGACCUGCCUUAUAGAGGGGAAUAACCAGAAGAAAUUUUGGCUAAUGCCGCAUACGAAGCACGGUUUUAAGACUGUGCUUGAAGAAUGCCUCUGCAUAUGCAUUCGCUAUUAGAUGGGCCUGCGGGACAUUAGCUAGUUGGUGGGGUAAAGGCCUACCAAGGCAACGAUGUCUAUCCGGUCUGAGAGGAUGAUCGGACACACUGGAACUGAGACACGGUCCAGACUCCUACGGGAGGCAGCAGUGGGGAAUAUUGCGCAAUGGGCGAAAGCCUGACGCAGCGACGCCGCGUGGGUGAUGAAGGCCUUCGGGUC
Molecule: ribosomal RNA, 403 nt
Filed under: uncultured bacterium
Lineage: Bacteria
Description: bacterial SSU rRNA
Rfam family: Bacterial small subunit ribosomal RNA
Source: RNAcentral